AGUGAACGCUGGCGGUAGGCCUAACACAUGCAAGUCGAACGGCAGCACAGUAAGAGCUUGCUCUUACGGGUGGCGAGUGGCGGACGGGUGAGGAAUACAUCGGAAUCUACUUUUUCGUGGGGGAUAACGUAGGGAAACUUACGCUAAUACCGCAUACGACCUACGGGUGAAAGCAGGGGAUCUUCGGACCUUGCGCGAUUGAAUGAGCCGAUGUCGGAUUAGCUAGUUGGCGGGGUAAAGGCCCACCAAGGCGACGAUCCGUAGCCGGUCUGAGAGGAUGCUCAGCCACACUGGAACUGGGACACGGUCCAGACUCCUACGGGAGGCAGCAGUGGGGAAUAUUGGACAAUGGGCGCAAGCCUGAUCCAGCCAUACCGCGUGGGUGAAGAAGGCCUUCGGGUUGUAAAGCCCUUUUGUUGGGAAAGAAAAGCAGCAGGUUAAUACCCCGCUGUUCUGACGGUACCCAAAGAAUAAGCACCGGCUAACUUCGUG
RNAcentral lists this ribosomal RNA (492 nucleotides) under uncultured bacterium. RNAcentral's name for it is "partial 16S ribosomal RNA". It matches the Rfam family "Bacterial small subunit ribosomal RNA", at positions 29 to 507 of the family's 1533-position model. The record is from RNAcentral.